CAUUUUUACUAUAUUGGGCGUCCGCAAAGAGUAGACCACUUUCCUUUUAUGGAAAUGGUCCCACCACCCACUUUAAUCUUUUAUCCUUACAAACACUCUUUAUUUACAAAAAAAACCCACCCCAAAUUCAAUCUCAACCACACAUCUCAUAAAGUGGUGGGACCCUUUCUCCACUACAUCAAAAUCAUCAACAAUUUUAU
This 200-nucleotide long non-coding RNA is filed under the name Salvia miltiorrhiza (redroot sage). Its description in RNAcentral is "long non-coding RNA (SMIL_LNC002172)". The record is from RNAcentral. Lineage: Eukaryota; Viridiplantae; Streptophyta; Magnoliopsida; Lamiales; Lamiaceae.